GUAACGGCUCACCAAGGCGACGAUCUAUAGCCGAGUUGAGAGGCUGAUCGGCCACAUUGGAACUGAGACACGGUCCAGACUCCUACGGGAGGCAGCAGCUAAGAAUCUUCCGCAAUGGGCGCAAGCCUGACGGAGCGACGCCGCGUGAACGAUGAAGGCCUUUCGGGUUGUAAAGUUCUUUUAUAAGAGACGAAUGUCUGGUGUAGGCCAGACUGACUGUAUCUUUUGAAUAAGGUCCGGCUAACUACGUGCCAGCAGCCGCGGUAAUACGUAGGGACCAAGCGUUGUUCGGAAUUAUUGGGCGUAAAGGGUACGUAGGCGGCAUGAUAAGUCAGAUGUGAAACCCUCGGGCUCAACCUGAGGCCUGCGUCUGAUACUGUUGUGCUAGAGUUACUGAGAGGAAGACGGAAUUCCUGGUGUAGGGGUGAAAUCUAUAGAUAUCAGGAAGAACACCUAUUGCGAAGGCAGUCUUCUGGCAGCUAACUGACGCUGAUGUACGAAAGUUAGGGUAGCAAACAGGAUUAGAGACCCUGGUAAUCCUAACCGUAAACGUUGUAUACUAGGUGGUUGAAGUAUUGAUCCUUUGACUGCCGGAGCUAACGCAUUAAGUAUACCGCCUGGGGAGUAUGCCGGCAACGGUGAAACUCAAAGGAAUUGACGGGGGCCCGCACAAGCAGUGGAGCAUGUUGUUUAAUUCGAAGAUACGCGAGAAACCUUACCAGGUCUUGACAUAUACCUGAAUGGUGUGGAAACACAUCCGCCCCUCGGGGCAGGUAUACAGGUGCUGCAUGGUUGUCGUCAGCUCGUGCCGUGAGGUGUUGGGUUAAGUCCCGCAACGAGCGCAACCCUUAUUCUUUGUUGCUAACAGGUUAAGCUGAGCACUCUAAGAAGACUGCCGGUGACAAACCGGAGGAAGGUGGGGAUGACGUCAAAUCAUCACGGCCCUUAUGAUCUGGGCUACAAACGUGCUACAAUGGGCGGCACAAAGAGUUGCGAUACCGCGAGGUGGAGCUAAUCUCAAAAAACCGUCCUCAGUUCGGAUUGGAGUCUGAAACCCGACUCUAUGAAGCUGGAAUUGCUAGUAAUCGCACAUCAUCAUGGUGCGGUGAAUAUGUUCCCGGGCCUUGUACACACCGCCCGUCACAUCACCCGAGU
This 1155-nucleotide ribosomal RNA is filed under the name uncultured organism. RNAcentral describes it as "bacterial SSU rRNA". It matches the Rfam family "Bacterial small subunit ribosomal RNA", at positions 257 to 1411 of the family's 1533-position model. The record is from RNAcentral.